GAUUAUGGCUCAGGAUGAACGCUAGCUACAGGCUUAACACAUGCAAGUCGAGGGGCAGCGAGAGGAAAGCUUGCUUCCUUGUCGGCGACCGGCGCACGGGUGAGUAACGCGUAUCCAACCUUCCCCAUAGUAGAGGAUAGCCCGGCGAAAGUCGGAUUAAUACUCUAUGUUGUGUCAUGAGGACAUCUGAAUAACACUAAAGAUUUAUCGCUAUGGGAUGGGGAUGCGUCUGAUUAGCUUGUUGGCGGGUAACGGCCCACCAAGGCGACGAUCAGUAGGGGUUCUGAGAGGAAGGUCCCCCACAUUGGUACUGAGACACGGACCAAACUCCUACGGGAGGCAGCAGUGAGGAAUAUUGGUCAAUGGGCGUGAGCCUGAACCAGCCAAGUAGCGUGCAAGGAUGACUGCCCUAUGGGUUGUAAACUGCUUUUAUGCGGGAAUAAAGUCAGGUACGUGUACCUGUUUGUAUGUACCGCAUGAAUAAGGACCGGCUAAUUCCGUGCCAGCAGCGGC
Molecule: ribosomal RNA, 513 nt
Filed under: uncultured bacterium
Lineage: Bacteria
Description: bacterial SSU rRNA
Rfam family: Bacterial small subunit ribosomal RNA
Source: RNAcentral